Molecule: long non-coding RNA, 2543 nt
Filed under: Zostera marina
Lineage: Eukaryota; Viridiplantae; Streptophyta; Magnoliopsida; Alismatales; Zosteraceae
Description: long non-coding RNA (ZMAR_LNC000433)
Source: RNAcentral
UCCGGGCUUCGUCAAAAAGAGGCGAAAGAAUAAAUACAAUGUCGACAGGAGUGAAUAUAUAUAGACCACUAUCUGUUCCACAAUAAUCAACUUGAACAUUUUUAUACACUAGGCUUCCGACGCACAACGCGGGAGUGUCAAGAACAUAUCCACUCCGAUUAACUAAUAUGAUUAGAUUCAUGCACCAACAUAUACAGAUGUAAAGCUACAAAAUCAUUAACUUCUCUAACGUAACAGUAUAGUCAUGAACGUAUAUGUUUUUUUUCUGGAAUAUAACUCCAUAAGCAAAUUAGAACAUAUUAUUCUAGCAUCUUAACCUUGAAUCCUGCGAUAUCUUGUGUCACUCCAGUUAAACGUCCAACAGUAGCUCUCCUUAUCUUCUCCUGAACUAUUAUAAAAAUAAACAUUCAAAUCCUCAACUAAAAGUCUAAAACAAGAUCAUAAGAACAUUUUGUUUGUCUCGAAUAAAUAAAUUUAGGUUUUGUGUGAUUGUAUUCAAAGUAAUCAUGCGAACAAAAUCAAGAAAAUGUGUAACCAGGAAAGCGAGACACUACAAUUUGAUGAAUGGAAUGAAUCAAAGCAGUUUUCCCCAAGCUUGUUCAUGCGACGCCUAGGCGUCGCAUAUGCGACCAUGCGCUCCAGCGCAUGUAGGCGUUUGCCUUCAUGCGCUGGAGCGGGUUAGGCGGGUCCGGGUCGGAUCUGACCCGGACCCACCUAACCCAAUAGGUCUGUUUUAUUACUUUUUUUUUUAAUUUUUUUUUUUUAAUUUAAAUAUAAGGCCCAACCACCCAUUUAAAUAAGAGGUUGAGGGUUUUAAAAAACCCUAACCUCUUUUCUUUCUUGUUUCUUGCACCUUUUUAACCCUAAAUUCAUAGAAGUCAUAUAAUCUAUGUAUUUACAUUUUAAAUUUUAGAUUAAUAGGUCUAUUACUUUGUAUUGGUAAUUUCAGGUUUUAAAAUUUAUGUAUAUAUUUUUUUAAAUGUUUCUGAAUUUACCCAUAUUUUUUAGCAAAUGUAUACAAAUUUACCCUAUUUUCAGGCGACCGCCUAGGCGUCGCCUGAAGCGCCUAGGCGGCCAUGCGGUCAUGGCCAUCGCAUGACCGCAUGGUCGCCUAAAAAACCUUGGUUUUCCCAACAUUAGGUACACACAAAAAUAAGCAGAACAACAAUUAACAGCCGUGUAGUCGGCAGAACAUAGGGACAUUAUAGAAGAAGUAAGAAAUGAAAGAAGAUUGUACUAAAAACAUUUAGAAAUUAGAUGAAAAACAAACUUUCAUCGCUCUGAAAAAUUUAAGAUAGGUACAAAAACAUAAUUCAUGAUAGCCACUAAUAACAGUAUAAAAUUAUGUUUUUUAAAAAUCAAAUGCAAAUUUAUUUCCCCCAAAUUUUUUAGACAUUCAUUGCAGUAUUUCUCAUGUUUUAAAAAAAAAAUCAAGGAAAAUAUAAGGCCCAGGGCACACGGAAAUUUAAGAAGAAGCAAGAAAUAUAUGAAGAUGAUAUACAAAAAUAUUACAGUCCUAUGAUGAUGAUCUGGUUAUAUAGUAAUAUUCUUACAAAUAUAAAAAAAAAAUAUAUUCUAGCAAUCCAGAAAGUCAUUACACUAGUUAUAAUGUUGUAAAUUAAAAAUCAAGGAAAAAUAUGAAGUUCAGGGGACAAUGAGAUUACAGAAGAAUCAAGAAAUGAAAGAAGAUUAGUGCAAAGAAACACACAGUAUAGUAGACAUUGCAAAAAAAAACAUGGAUAAUACGAGUACUAUUUGAAGGUGAAAUCGAGUUGUACUGUAAAAAUCCUCAAAAAAUUAAAAAAUCUUGAAGUCCACAACGAUUCAUAUGAAUAACCAAUUGUUAUCUGUGGAAAAUGAUUAAUCGAAAAAGAAAUUUCAUAUCUAGUUAACAAUGUCUGUAGAGAACUGAUUAAAGUGUUGAUGAUUUUGGGGAAAAAUACCUUCGGUCAUUUGAAGAUGGUUGGGAGAUUAGAGCAGCCGGAAGACCUAAACCUUGUUGAUGAACGGAUGAUGAAUUGGUUGUAGAGGACUCGCGUUUAAAUAGAUAAACUUGUAAUCAUCACGGUGUGGGUUGUCGUCGUCGAUCGUCGAUCGUCGUGGGCGGAUGGGAGGUUUUCGCCGAUAGGUAUGGUUUGCUGUGGAAAAUAGCAGUCUGUUUAUGAAAUGUAGGUGUCGACUCGGUUGAACGGUAGGGUUGGACAGUGGUCGUAUAGAAGAAGGCAUGGUGGAUGGACGGUGACCGGUCAUCCAGCGGCGGACGCGACGUGAGCUCACCGUACGAGCGUGCGAGAGGGGAUGUAUUUUAAUCUCAGGGCAACCAUACCUCUACUGUAGCUAGCUGUAUGUACAUGUGGAUUCGCGUCUUAUACCAACGAAUUUUCGCUGUGUGGUGGGACGACAUCGAAGAUGGCUGUUUAACCGGCGAUUGGAAAUCAACGACAGUUAUCACCGGUACCGUGCCAUGGUAGGUACGCACAGGUACCGUUCAUGAUUAUUUUUGUAUAUAUAUAUAUAUAGGGCUGGUGCAAUAUCAAUGUAAU